This 434-nucleotide ribosomal RNA is filed under the name uncultured Gammaproteobacteria bacterium. RNAcentral's name for it is "bacterial SSU rRNA". It matches the Rfam family "Bacterial small subunit ribosomal RNA", at positions 958 to 1392 of the family's 1533-position model. The record is from RNAcentral. Lineage: Bacteria; Pseudomonadati; Pseudomonadota; Gammaproteobacteria.
AACGCGAAGAACCUUACCUACUCUUGACAUCCACGGAACUUGCCAGAGAUGGCUUGGUGCCUUCGGGAACCGUGAGACAGGUGCUGCAUGGCUGUCGUCAGCUCGUGUUGUGAAAUGUUGGGUUAAGUCCCGCAACAAGCGCAACCCUUAUCCUUUGUUGCCAGCGAUUCGGUCGGGAACUCAAAGGAGACUGCCGGUGAUAAACCGGAGGAAGGUGGGGAUGACGUCAAGUCAUCAUGGCCCUGACGAGUAGGGCUACACACGUGCUACAAUGGCAUAUACAAAGAGAAGCAAACUCGCGAGAGCCAGCGGACCUCAUAAAGUAUGUCGUAGUCCGAAUUGGAGUCUGCAACUCGACUCCAUGAAGUCGGAAUCGCUAGUAAUCGUAGAUCAGAAUGCUACGGUGAAUACGUUCCCGGGUCUUGUACACACCG